This is a long non-coding RNA of Pseudophryne corroboree (corroboree frog), 391 nucleotides long. RefSeq lists it as uncharacterized. The transcript has 3 exons. NCBI's taxonomy places the organism in Eukaryota, Metazoa, Chordata, Amphibia, Anura, Myobatrachidae. The record is from RefSeq and is a predicted model, not a curated record.
CCCAGUAACAGAGAUACCCCAGAGAGAUGUCCCUGUCCUCUGUAUUCCCAGGAUUGUACAGAGGAGAAUCACAGGAUCCCACAGGAGGAUCAGGUAGAACGUGUGUCUGAUAUUAAAUUAGAAGAUAUAGAGGGAGAAGAAGAGACGUAUGUGACUGAUAUAAAGGCAGAAGAUACAGAGGGAGAAGAAGAGAUGUAUCUAACUGUUAUAAAGGUAGAAGAUAUAGAGGGAGAAGAAGAGACGUAUCUGAGAGGUGAUCAGCAGUGUAAGGAGGAGGAAAUUCCUACAGAUAUCAGCACAGAUGGACACACAAGCAGGAAUAUCUCAGAAGGACAUCUAAUGUUAUCCCCGGAUUGUGACAUAAAAGAUAAUGACAGUAGACCGGAUUCUC